Long non-coding RNA from Alosa sapidissima (American shad), 126 nucleotides. RefSeq lists it as uncharacterized. Lineage: Eukaryota; Metazoa; Chordata; Actinopteri; Clupeiformes; Clupeidae. The transcript is spliced from 3 exons. The record is from RefSeq and is a predicted model, not a curated record.
CCUACCCGAAUUUUGAAAUUGCGAUCAGUGACUGGCAUUGGGUGAACAAAGCUUUUUGAAGUUGAAUUGGCUAUUAAAAACUAUUUGCGCACCACAAGCAUGCAAGCUCCCAAACUGACCCAGUAG